ACUCCUGCGGGAGGCAGCAGUGGGGAAUAUUGGACAAUGGGCGCAAGACUGAUCCAGCCAUGCCGCGUGAGUGAUGAAGGCCCUAGGGUUGUAAAGCUCUUUCACCGGUGAAGAUAAUGACGGUAACCGGAGAAGAAGCCCCGGCUAACUUCGUGCCAGCAGCCGCGGUAAUACGAAGGGGGCUAGCGUUGUUCGGAUUUACUGGGCGUAAAGCGCACGUAGGCGGACUAUUAAGUCAGGGGUGAAAUCCCGGGGCUCAACCCCGGAACUGCCUUUGAUACUGGUAGUCUUGAGUUCGAGAGAGGUGAGUGGAAUUCCGAGUGUAGAGGUGAAAUUCGUAGAUAUUCGGAGGAACACCAGUGGCGAAGGCGGCUCACUGGCUCGAUACUGACGCUGAGGUGCGAAAGCUUGGGGAGCAAACAGGAUUAGAAACCCGAGUAGUCC
RNAcentral lists this ribosomal RNA (444 nucleotides) under uncultured organism. RNAcentral describes it as "partial 16S ribosomal RNA". It matches the Rfam family "Bacterial small subunit ribosomal RNA", at positions 335 to 796 of the family's 1533-position model. The record is from RNAcentral.